AAUCCGUAGAGUUUGAUCCUGGCUCAGGACGAACGCUGGCGGUGCGCCUAAUGCAUGCAAGUCGAACGGGCGAAGGGGCUUCGGCCCCCUAGCUAGUGGCAGACGGCUGAGUAACACGUAAGUGAUAUGCCCCGGAGAGGGGGAUAAGCCGGAGAAAUCCGGUCUAAUACCCCGUACGCUCCCUUUACUACGGUAUAGGGAGGAAAGGUUCCGGCGCUCUGGGAGUAGCUUGCGGCCUAUCAGGUAGUUGGUGGGGUAAAAGCCUACCAAGCCGAAGACGGGUAACCGGUGUGAGAGCACGAUCGGUCAGAGGGGGACUGAGACACGGCCCCCACUCCUACGGGAGGCAGCAGCAGGGAAUCUUGCGCAAUGGGCGAAAGCCUGACGCAGCGACACCGCGUGGGGG
This 406-nucleotide ribosomal RNA is filed under the name Dehalococcoidia bacterium. Its description in RNAcentral is "bacterial SSU rRNA". It matches the Rfam family "Bacterial small subunit ribosomal RNA", at positions 1 to 407 of the family's 1533-position model. Lineage: Bacteria; Bacillati; Chloroflexota; Dehalococcoidia. The record is from RNAcentral.